RNAcentral lists this ribosomal RNA (511 nucleotides) under Dacus pallidilatus. RNAcentral's name for it is "partial 16S ribosomal RNA". It matches the Rfam family "Bacterial large subunit ribosomal RNA", at positions 1819 to 2597 of the family's 2925-position model. The record is from RNAcentral. Lineage: Eukaryota; Metazoa; Arthropoda; Insecta; Diptera; Tephritidae.
GUCUUUUUGAGUUAUUUUUAAAGUCUGGCCUGCCCGCUGAAUUUUUGAAUGGCCGCAGUAUUUUAACUGUGCAAAGGUAGCAUAAUCAUUAGUCUUUUAAUUGAAGGCUGGUAUGAACGGUUGGACGAGGUAUAAGCUGUUUCAUGUAAAUUUACAGUAGAAUUUUAUAUUUUAGUUAAAAAGCUAAAAUGAGGUUAAAAGACGAGAAGACCCUAUAAAUCUUUAUAUUUUAUAUAGUUUAAAUUUUUUUGGUUUUUUUUAUUUUUAUUAUAUAGGAUAUUUUGUUGGGGUGAUGUUAAAAUUUGAUUAACUUUUAAUUUUUUUAAAUCAUUAAUUUAUGAGUUAUUGAUCCGUUAAUAGCGAUUAUAAGAUUAAGUUACUUUAGGGAUAACAGCGUAAUUUUUUUGGAGAGUUCAUAUCGAUAAAAAAGUUUGCGACCUCGAUGUUGGAUUAAGAUAUAGUUUUAGGUGUAGCCGCUUAAAGGUUAAGUCUGUUCGACUUUUAAAUUCUU